This 442-nucleotide ribosomal RNA is filed under the name uncultured bacterium. RNAcentral describes it as "partial 16S ribosomal RNA". It matches the Rfam family "Bacterial small subunit ribosomal RNA", at positions 338 to 795 of the family's 1533-position model. The record is from RNAcentral.
CCUACGGGUGGCUGCAGUGGGGGAUAUUGGACAAUGGGGGGAACCCUGAUCCAGCGACGCCGCGUGAGUGAAGAAGUAUUUCGGUAUGUAAAGCUCUGUCAGCAGGGAAGAAAGAAAUGACGGUACCUGACCAAGAAGCCCCGGCUAACUACGUGCCAGCAGCCGCGGUAAUACGUAGGGGGCAAGCGUUAUCCGGAAUUACUGGGUGUAAAGGGAGCGUAGACGGUUAAGUAAGUCUGGAGUGAAAGGCCGGGGCCCAACCCCGUCGUGCCGUUGAAACUGACGCCCUUGAGUGAGUGAGAAGUAAGCGGAAUGCGUGGUGUAGCGGUGAAAUGCAUAGAUAUCAUGCAGAACGCCGAUUGCGAAGGCAGCUUACCGGCGCUCAACUGACGCUGAGGCACGAAAGUGCGGGUAUCGAACAGGAUUAGAUACCCCUGUAGUC